AUCCUUUGAUGCUGUGCUAUUGGAACCAACAGAUGCUGAUACAGUUUGGACUGAUGGGCAGCAAUACUGCUGCCUCCUUCCUUUUGGGAGAGGAUCGUGCGUCUCCCUUCCCAAAUCUGUCUUGUGGCUCUCUUAAUAAAAUUACCAACACGCUAUUUUUUCUGGAAACACAAAACCUACGCCAGACCUCUAGGCUGAAAAGCUGUCAAUAGUGUAAUAAGGCACCUGUACACAAAUAGGAAUGGGAAGCUUGCUUGCUGACGCAUAAAGCUCUUAACACUUAUGCAGAAGUUUUUUGUAUGCUUGCUGGGCUUGUAAGUCUGAAGGGCGUAACAGACUUAGACUUCUCUGUGUUUGGAACAUCACUGAGUAAAAAAGAAGCCUUUACAAAAGCUUUGGUCACAAAAUUCAUAGGAUUAUUCUCACACCUCUGAGACGUGACUAUUUUCACUCUGUGAGGAAUAAAACACGCAGCAGAAGAAACACUCUCUGGCUCCUCUCACUGCACCUCAGGUCUUUUCAAACACUGGAAGGGAGACACAGAUCUUACAUUUCUCAGGGAGAGAAAGGAGUCACAGCUGUUUCCAAACCUGGAACCAGCUUCAGCUACUAAAACUCCAACCGUGUUUGAAUUAACUGAUUUCAGAGAGAGAUUUCAGAGGAAAACAGUAGAUUUUCAGAGAGGUAUGUUGGUCACUUUAGUCAGCUGUUGUGUAACACCACAAAUAAAAACUUAUUUAUUUUUUUUUUUAUUUGUAUAGUGCCAAAUUGGCAUUAAGUGAAAAUUGAACAGGUUUUGGAGCUAUUUCAACAUUUUCCCCUUGAUUUUUGCAGCUCCAUGGAAGAGAAGAAGCUCUGAUGGAGCAAGAAGCCUCUCUGGAUAAUCUAAAAGAGGUGCGGUAAUGUAAGGACGCUUAUUGCUUUACUUGCCCUUUCACUUGGUGGUCAUUAUCUGAAGCCAUGCUGUGUUUACCAGGUUUAAUGCUUCUUUCUUUAAUGUACUUGAAACACGGAAAUGGAAGUUUAUCGGAUCCUUUUAACACUAAAAUGCAACUUGGCUUGUAAUUGUUUCUAAAAUGAUCUGGUUCAUCCUGUUUGGAAUGUGAUAUUUCUACAGCAGAAGGAUGCAGAAGUGAAAAGGCUUGAAAUGCUGCUGAAGGAAAUUGCCGAAUGUCAGGACGACCUUGAGGAAGCAAAUGAAUCCAUAAGAAAUCCAUCGAGAGGAAUUAUUUCCUAUGAUCAGUAACUCUCCAAGUCUGAGUUAACACUGCUGGUUGUCUGAACGGGAUGUCUGCAAAGCUGAUGACUUGGUUUUUCUGUGACAGGAAGGGUGUGAAUGCAGUCAAUUACUUUCCCCCUCUCUGUUUCUGAGUUCUUGAGGCAUUUUUGCAGCGUGGUCUCUACUGUUCUGUCACUUGUUUACAAGAAGAGAAAGGGUAAAGCAGUUGUUGGUUUAAUCACUCUGCUGCUCAGGAACUCCGUCAAAGGAUUUCGGAGUGUUGUUUACCAAAAAAAUCGAGUUUUCUGUACACAGAUAUUUGAGUAUUUUUCUUUUAUUUCAGGUAAAUGACGGGAUUCUAGGGAAGAAGUACUCAAAUCAAUAGAUAAGGACAGCAGAAGCUCCUUCAUCUUUCCAUCAUCUUUCCUUCAUCUAUCUUGAAGGUUUUGGCUUGGAAGAUCAUCAAGUUGAAAGCUGAAAUAGCUGAUGAUGUGACUAUAUUACAACUACCACCGAAUUCUGAAGUUGAUGGGCUCCUGACUGCUCUUAAGGAUUGGAUCUCAGAUGAGCACCUGAGCAAACUCCAAAGACAAGAAGAAAGCAAGGACGGUCAGAAGCCUCAGUCUGCUGGAAGAACCCACAUCCAGGAGAAGAGAUGCUCACACCCAAUUGAAAAUACUUUAAUGUCUCUGUUGGAUCUUGAAGUUUCAGUGAAUGACUUAUGACAGAUCAUACUAUGUGAUACUGAAAGCCUUUCCUUCCAUCUCUCCAGGGGCACCAAGGCUUGGAAAUCAAUGCGGUGUUCAGGAGUUCUACUUGUACUGCUUUCCUUCAUUCUCUGAAGGGUUUGUAGGCACUGGUGUUGGUCUUGGUGGUUGAGCUCACACGACGAUGCAUCUCUGGUUGCUACUGUCCAACCAAUUCCUGAUUUGGCUCCUAAGCCACUCUUCAAACACAAACCAGUCCAGACCACUGCCAAUCUGCCUGUGCUGCAGUGGUACAGAGCUGAGGCAAUGUGCGACUCCUCUGAAGCUGAUGGACUGCAAAAGAUUUGGACUAUCAAAGCUUUGGGAUGGGAAAUGUUUGGGGGGGUG
Non-coding RNA from Coturnix japonica (Japanese quail), 2313 nucleotides. Lineage: Eukaryota; Metazoa; Chordata; Aves; Galliformes; Phasianidae. The record is from RefSeq and is a predicted model, not a curated record.